UUGCGGGCCGGUCUGGAGCUCUCCACUUUGCAGCUCGAACCGCCGGACCAGACCCUUCCAUGAGACUAUGGUA
This is a non-coding RNA of Aspergillus fumigatus Af293, 73 nucleotides long. NCBI's taxonomy places the organism in Eukaryota, Fungi, Ascomycota, Eurotiomycetes, Eurotiales, Aspergillaceae. The record is from the annotation of a RefSeq genome assembly.